UAAUGUUGUUUUGUUCCUGACAAGGAAGAUUUUACUUGAAUGCUCUUACACUUUUCAGUUGAUUUUGUCCACAAUUGUGUUCUGAUCGUUCAUGUUGGUAAAAGUGAGGGAUGUUGUUUUGAUCUGAUGGCCACGAGUGGAAUACACAAUGACUUAUGAGUGUGACACCAAGUAGGCAUAUAUAAAGGUUUGGGCAUCAAGAAUUUGGAAUCUUAAGAAAGACCCAUAAUUUUCUGCUUUGAAAGUGUUUUGCCAUUACAAUUGUAAUGAUAUUUUUAGGUUUUUGGAAGUCUUUAGUAGUGGGGCAUGAUGUGGAUCAAUUGUUGGACAAGUAAUAUAUUCUCUGGAUUUUGCCCGAUAGUUUGAAGGAAUAACUUUGGUGGCACAUGUAUUAAAACUAAUGGAUCUAGACACAAUUUUGUGUUUGAUUUUAAUUUUAUAAGCAGUUUCCAGAGACAUGGUCUUGAAAUAGCAGGAAUUUUUAGGAGUUUGCCUUAUUGCAGCUUUUGCUUUUCUUGAACCAGAAUCUGGAAAUUGCAAUGGAGAACAUCAUUUCUCUGCGAUUCAUUUUAAAAAUGAUCUCUAUUGAAAGUUGGAUUCAGAAGAACUGAUUUCUGACAAUGCAAGUAUGGGGAUUUGGGUUUCUAUGCAGUUCUUCCAGCUAUCAAUAUCACUCUUAGCCUCCUUUGUUUCGAAAACUGCCUCAAGUUCAAGCUCGCCGGCAAACUCCUGCUCUCCAGAUGGCUGACAAGCAUACUUGGUCAAACAAAGAAGAGAAAGCAUUGUCGGCUGACAUCGAGGAGUCGUUGCAAAUGGCCAAUGUGAUGGAGUAGCUACUUUUAAGAAUAAAUGAAUGCAGGAAGGUGUUGUAACUUGUUCAUCUUCUUCAAUUCCUCCCAAGGAUAUAUGGUGACUCUUCGAUUAUGGACUUGCUUUAUAAGAUAUAUCCAAGUAUUCACUACGUUCUAAUCGUAGAAGUUAAACUGGACUUA
Prunus mume (Japanese apricot) is the source of this 992-nucleotide non-coding RNA. The record is from RefSeq and is a predicted model, not a curated record. Lineage: Eukaryota; Viridiplantae; Streptophyta; Magnoliopsida; Rosales; Rosaceae.